RNAcentral lists this ribosomal RNA (301 nucleotides) under uncultured bacterium. Its description in RNAcentral is "partial 16S ribosomal RNA". It matches the Rfam family "Bacterial small subunit ribosomal RNA", at positions 509 to 807 of the family's 1533-position model. The record is from RNAcentral.
CAGUAGCCGCGGGAAUACGAAGGGGGCUAGCGUUGCUCGGAAUGACUGGGCGUAAAGCGUACGUAGGCGGAUCGUUAAGUUAGGGGUGAAAUCCCGAGGCUCAACCUCGGAACUGACUCUGAUACUGGCGAUCUUGAGUCCGGGAGAGGUGAGUGGAACUCCUAGUGUAGAGGUGAAAUUCGUAGAUAUUAGGAAGAACACCAGUGGCGAAGGCGGCUCACUGGUCCUUGACUGACGCUGAGGCGCGAAAGCGUGGGGAGCAAACAGGAUUAGAUACCCCCGUAGUCCCUGUCUCUUAUAC